CACGCCCGGUUAAGUUUUAUAUUUUUGUAGAGACGGGGUUUCACCAUGUUGGCCAGGCUGGUCUUGAACUCCUGACCUCAGGUGAUCUGCCCGCCUUGGCCUCCCAGCCUGUUUUGUUUUAAAAAUGAGAGAGACGUGAACAAAUACAAAAGCUGAUGGAUCCAGUAGAAAGACUGAAGAGGGGCAGGGCACAGUGGCUCAUGCCUGUAAUCCCAGCACUUUGGGAAGCUGAGGUGGGCAGAUCAUGAGGUCAGGAGUUUGAGACCAGCCCGACCAACAUGGCAAAACCCCGUCUCUACUAAAAAUACAAAAAUUAGCCAGGUGUGGUGGCACACGCCUGUGAUACCAGCUACUUGGGAGGCUGAGGCAGGAGAAUCACUUGAACCCGGGAGGCGGAGGUUGUGGUGAGCCAAGAUCGUGUCAUUGCACUCCAGCCUGGGUAACAAGAGCAAGACUCUGUCUAAAAAAAAAAAAAAAAGAAAGAAAGAAAAAGAAAAGAAAGAAAGCUUGAAGAAGAGGGAGCAAGAGCAGGCAGUGGAGAAUGAGGUCCCUAAGGAGUAGACUGGAGGAGUAUAUUGGUGUCUCAGACCAGAGCCUCAGUGGGGAUUCCCAGGGGCUGGUGUGGCUAAAUCUUUUUUGCUCAUCUGUUCCUGCUGGCUGAUGUUUACCUCGUUCCCCCAAUACAUAUAUCAAGAGCCUUUUGAAUUUGAGCUGAACCAGCUAAAGACUGCGCACCAGCUAGAC
This 744-nucleotide long non-coding RNA is filed under the name Piliocolobus tephrosceles (Ugandan red Colobus). RNAcentral's name for it is "lncRNA (ENSPTEG00000038376.1)". The record is from RNAcentral. Lineage: Eukaryota; Metazoa; Chordata; Mammalia; Primates; Cercopithecidae.